Molecule: transfer RNA, 77 nt
Filed under: Mogibacterium diversum
Lineage: Bacteria; Bacillati; Bacillota; Clostridia; Peptostreptococcales; Anaerovoracaceae
Description: tRNA-Arg
Rfam family: tRNA
About the family: Transfer RNA (tRNA) molecules are approximately 80 nucleotides in length. Their secondary structure includes four short double-helical elements and three loops (D, anti-codon, and T loops).
Source: RNAcentral
GCGCCAUUAGCUCAGAUGGAUAGAGCAGAGGACUUCUAAUCCUAAGGUCGGCGGUUCGAAUCCGUCAUGGCGCACCA